Non-coding RNA from Chiloscyllium plagiosum (whitespotted bambooshark), 115 nucleotides. Lineage: Eukaryota; Metazoa; Chordata; Chondrichthyes; Orectolobiformes; Hemiscylliidae. The record is from RefSeq and is a predicted model, not a curated record.
CACGCUUCCGUGAUGGCCACAACAUCGUAGUCCCAAGUACCGAUCCACGCCUUAAGUUCACCCACCUUAUUUCUGAUCCUCCUUGCGUUGAAGUAUACACACUUAAACCCAUCUG